RNAcentral lists this long non-coding RNA (1567 nucleotides) under Homo sapiens (human). RNAcentral describes it as "HSALNT0382152". Lineage: Eukaryota; Metazoa; Chordata; Mammalia; Primates; Hominidae. The record is from RNAcentral.
CAACCUCCCAAAGUGCUGGGAUUACAGGCAUGAGCCACCGAGCCCGGCUGCAUACUUUUAUACUUUGUAAGUAUUAGUACUUAGUGGAGCUGACAAUCACAAUGCUACCUCCUGCCCCCUUCUACCCCACACAAAUGGAUGCAUGACCCAUCAGGCCAGGCAAAGGACUCCAUCAUCCUGACCAAAGUGAUUAGUUCAGGUGUGGGUUUGUGACCUAAGCAAAGCCAAUCAUAAUCUUCUGCUCAAAGCUCUCUUGCUUUUGAGGUUAAUGUGCUAAGAGGAUAUGAGAUUGAAGCUGCUGGCACCCAGCUCUCCCUGCCACAGGGCAGAGAAUGGGGCCAAGGCAUAAAGAGAAGCAGAGCUCUGAGAAAUGGAAUGAGAGAGACCUGAUGACAUUGUUUGAGCCCCUGAGAUGAGCCUUGCCUGAGAUGGCAAAAUCUUAAGAAGUCAUAUCCAGACCUGAGCAAGAAUUGCCCAUCACCAAGGGACCCUGGACUGAGGACUCAAUAAAGCAACUGGAUGUAAUUCUGUUUUAUCUCCCCUUGGGAAAUAGGUGAAUGUGGUUUUUGUUGGGUCUAUGAUUAUUGCAUUGUCAGGCAGGCACAUUUUUGAAAUUGUAUGUUUGUCAAGAAAAGUAUAGGUGGAUGCAAUAAAGGGUGGGAUAUAGUGGGUGCAUUUCAUUUAUCUGCCCAUCAUCUCUUCCUUAGGGACCCAUUUCUCCCCUUCCACACAGUCCUGAUGAAGUUGUCAAUUAUGGUGGCCUACUCUUCUAUCCUAGUGGUGGGCAUGUGUCCAAAGCUGGCCAAAGUCCUCCCUGGGAUUUUAGAACUAGAACUAAUGAGGCCAACAUAUGGAAGGAAGCAGAGCCAAGAGAUGGAGACAUCAUCCUUUGAACCCCUAGAUCCAGCCAUGCUUCAAGGCAGAUACAUGCUUUGAUUUAUCAGUUAUGUAAAUCAAUUAAUUUCCAAUUGGCCUAAACAUGUUUGAGUUGGGUUUUUGACACUUGCAACUGAAAAGGUCCAGACUAAUACAUGCACACAGAGAGACACAAACACCAUAUUGUUCAAGCUCAUCAGACAUUAUAUAAGUCUUCCAUGAUCUUACCAGGGGUCAGCAAACUUUUUGUCUAAAGGACAAGAUAGAUAGAUAUUUUAGGCUGUGUGGGCCAUAUGUGGUCUCCGUUUCACUUUCUUGUUUUGUUUUGACGACCCUUCAAAAAUGUAAAAAAAAUUAUUAGUUUGGUAGUUCAUACAAAAAUAGGCCACAGGCCAGAUUUGGCCCACAAGCCAUAGUUUGCCAACCCCUGAUCUAGACCAUGUCAAACCCUGAAGCUUUGGAAUCACACAGUCUGCCAGUCCUUAGCCCAUACUCUAAAGUAUGAAGCCAGAUAUUUUAAAUGUCAUUUUGGUUCAAGUGUCUUGACAUGACUUGGUAAUGGUAAGGUUCAGGGUAGAGUUAGGAACGGGAAAAGGGUCUUAUCUUGUGCCCAUUAUCUGCCAUAUAACAGGUACUGAAUAAAUGGUAAUUAUUAUUAUUUCUUGGUAAUAAAGAUAAUUUUUCAAAAUGA